This 251-nucleotide ribosomal RNA is filed under the name uncultured prokaryote. Its description in RNAcentral is "partial 16S rRNA". It matches the Rfam family "Bacterial small subunit ribosomal RNA", at positions 525 to 775 of the family's 1533-position model. The record is from RNAcentral.
ACGGAGGGUGCAAGCGUUGUUCGGAAUUAUUGGGCGUAAAGGGCGCGUAGGCGGUAGCGUUAGUUAGAUGUGAAAUCCUUCGGCUUAACUGAAGAACUGCAUUUGAUACUGCGCAACUAGAGUACUGGAGAGGGAAAUGGAAUUCCCGGUGGAGUAUUUGCUGUCGUAGUUAUCAGGCGGAGGGGCAAAGGCGGGGGCAAAUAACAGGACAAAUACCCAUAUUAGCCCGGCUAAGUGUCAAAAACAUGGAG